CUGCCCAACAAUUUCCUCUUAAAGAGGUAGCUGGAGCUGAAGGCAUAGUCAAGGUUAGUGCUCCUUCUUCUUUAUCCGACCUCUCCCAAAUCAGUUAACAUUUAGGCUCUUUUUCAUCAAAUAUAAAAACCCAGCCCAGUUCAUGGCCCAUUUGGCAACAGCCCUCGGACCCUUUACCGCCCUAGACCCAGAAGGGCCAAAAGGCUGUCUUAUUCUCAAUAUACAUUGUAUUACCCAAUCUGCUUUUGACAUUAGAAAAAGCUCUAAAAAUUAGAUUCCAGCCCUCAAACCCCAUAACAGGACUUAAUUAACCUCGCUUUCAAGGUGGACAAUAAUAGAGAAGAGUUGCAAUUACUUGCCUCCGCUGUGAGAGAAACCCCAGCCACAUCUCCAGCACAGAAGAACUUCAAAAUGCCUGAACUGCAGCGGCCAGGCAUUCCUCCAGGACCUCCUCCCCCAGGAUCUUGCUUCAAGUGCUGGAAAUCUGGCCACUGGGCCAAGGAAUGCCCACAGCCUGGGAUUCCUCCUAAGCCAUGUCCCAUCUGUGUGGGACCCCACUGGAAAUCAGACUGUCCAACUCACCUGGCAGCCACUCCCAGAGCCCCUGGAACUCUGGCCCAAAGCUCUCUGACUAACUCCUUCCCAGAUCUUCUAGGCUUAGUGGCUGAAGACUGAUGCUGCCUGAUUACCUAAAAAUCCUCCUGGACCAUCAUGGAUAGCUCUUACAGUGGAGGACAGGAAUAGGCCUCGACUUACUCACUGCUGAAAAAGGAGGACGCUGCAUAUUUGUAAAUGAAGAGUGUUGUUUUUACCUAAAUCAAUCUGGCCUGAUAUAUGACAACAUAAAAAACUGAAGGAUAAAGCCCAAAAACUCGCCAACCAAGCAAGUAAUUAUGCUGAACCCCCUUGGGCACUCUCUAAUUGAAUGUCCUGGGUCCUCCCAAUUCUUAAUCCUUUAAUACCUGUUUUUCUCCCUCUCUUAUUUGGACCUUGUGUCUUCCGUUUAGUUUCUCAAUUCAUACAAAACUGUAUCCAGGCCAUCACCAAUCAUUCUAUAUGACAAAUGCUCCUUCUAAGAAGUGAAAAUGGCCGGUUCCUGCUGUAACUGAUGACAUUACCUUGUGAAAUUCCUACUCCUGGCUCAGAAGCUCCCCAACUGAGCACCUUGUGACCCUCGCCCUUGCCCACAAGAGAACAACCCCCUUUGACUGUAAUUUUCCACUACCUACCCAAGUGUUGGCAAAAUAAACUUUCUAAAUUAACUGAGACCUGUCUCAGAUUUCCUGGGUUCACAGUACUUUUAGGAAAGAGAUCCCAGGGAGCUCUCUAGCCUUCUUCCCACCAUGAGAGAACACUGGAAAAAAAUGGCCAUCUAUGAAGCAGCCCUCUCCAGACAUUGAAUCCUCUAGUGCCUUCAUCUUGGACUUCUCAGCCUGCAGAACUGUGGGGAAUAAAU
This 1456-nucleotide long non-coding RNA is filed under the name Homo sapiens (human). RNAcentral's name for it is "HSALNT0061394". The record is from RNAcentral. Lineage: Eukaryota; Metazoa; Chordata; Mammalia; Primates; Hominidae.